This 112-nucleotide ribosomal RNA is filed under the name Notamacropus eugenii (tammar wallaby). Lineage: Eukaryota; Metazoa; Chordata; Mammalia; Diprotodontia; Macropodidae. The record is from RNAcentral.
UUAAACCUCUAUGUCAUUCUUAAUGUACCUUAUCUAGUCUGAUCUUGGAUGAUAAAGAGGGUCAAGCCUGGUUAGUAACUUGGUUGGGAGAGAAUACUGGGUGAUUUAUAGA